This 465-nucleotide ribosomal RNA is filed under the name uncultured bacterium. Its description in RNAcentral is "partial 16S ribosomal RNA". It matches the Rfam family "Bacterial small subunit ribosomal RNA", at positions 339 to 795 of the family's 1533-position model. The record is from RNAcentral.
CUACGGGGUGCUGCAGUGGGGAAUAUUGGACAAUGGGGGAAACCCUGAUCCAGCAAUGCCGCGUGUGUGAAGAAGGCCUGCGGGUUGUAAAGCACUUUCGGUUGGGAGGACUGCUUCUAGCACUAAUAUUGUUGGAAGUUGACGUUACCUUCAGAAGAAGCACCGGCUAACUCCGUGCCAGCAGCCGCGGUAAUACGGAGGGUGCAAGCAUUAAUCGGAAUUACUGGGCGUACAGCGCGCGUAGGCGGCUAGAUCAGUCGGGUGCGAAAGCCCCGGGCUUAACCUGGGAACUGCAUCCGACCCUGUCUAGCUUGAGUACAGGAGAGGGGAGUGGAAUUCCACAUGUAGCGGUGAAAUGCGUAGAUAUGUGGAGGAACACCAAUGGCGAAGGCAGCUCUCUGGCCUGAUACUGACGCUGAGGUGCGAAAGCGUGGGGAGCAAACAGGAUUAGAUACCCGUGUAGUC